Molecule: long non-coding RNA, 625 nt
Organism: Sceloporus undulatus (fence lizard)
Lineage: Eukaryota; Metazoa; Chordata; Lepidosauria; Squamata; Phrynosomatidae
Exons: 3
Source: RefSeq, a predicted model, not a curated record
AGGGAACAAAUAACUGCUUUAUUACACCAAUGGCCUUUCUGACAAAUCCACAAGGAUUCCCAGUCUCUCUGUGAGUGACAAGCUGGAAUCUUCAAAGAUUUUUGAGAGUUGUCAGAAAUACAAGAUGGUACAAGACUGUUUCCUUUCCAUGUCAGAGCUGGCAUCAAUGUGCAGGCCCCAGACCAAGGAUUUAUGCCAACAAUCAUUUUGAAACAUGAUACUUCUGCAUUUUAGCUUUUGCUGGAUAAUCCUGUAGCUCCUGAUCAAAAAGUCGAACAAUAUCCUUCGUUAAGAGGCUACACUUAACAAAGAGGCUGCUCUCUGACUCAUUCUUUUCAUUCACUGAAUGAUGCACAUUUAACCACAUGAGGUUGAUGUACUCAACCUGACAAGAGCUGACUAGUCUUUAUUGUGCCCCACCCAGAAACUGUAUUUUACCAAGACAUUUGGGUAGCAUUCUAAACAUAAUUUAAACUUAAAUAACCAUUUUAGAUAAAUAAACAAUAGCACUUUAUUUUUUCCACUCUCUUGAUUUUCUUACAUUAACAACAGAUAUGUUUUAACUAAUGAGGAUGUAUGAAUUAUCCUAUGCAUAUUUUCUUUAAAAAAACAAAUGUGCACACUU